RNAcentral lists this long non-coding RNA (642 nucleotides) under Nicotiana benthamiana. Its description in RNAcentral is "long non-coding RNA (NBEN_LNC031998)". The record is from RNAcentral. Lineage: Eukaryota; Viridiplantae; Streptophyta; Magnoliopsida; Solanales; Solanaceae.
CUUAUCUAGCCUGGUGUGCCCACACAUCCACCUAAGCAUCCUCAUCUCCGCAACCUUCAUUCUCUGAACCUGGGAGUUCUUCACGGGCCAGCACUCCGCCCCAUACAACAUCGCAGGUCUAACCACGGCUCUGUAGCAACAAGAAAAGAAAAGAAAUGAUAAAAGAAGGCGGGGUAGUUCUUCCUCUUUGUGAGGUGCAGAGGCGCGUUUAGGGGGGUAAGCCCCGUUGCAAUCGUCUUCCUCAUCCGACCAUGCCCGACGAGGAUGUGAUUAUCCUUACCCUUUGACUUCAUUCGAGGGCAAUGCUAGCCAUGGGCAUAUAAGAUGAGGAAUCUCCUUUUGUCACUCGUAGCUAGAUAUUUUGGCCCUGCGCCUGUCGCAAGGUUCUACACCUUUGGUGGAGCAGCGUUGGAAUCGCAGCCCAAGCGACGUAUUCAUAGUUACCUGUACAAAGCGUUUGCAUCCUGUGUCACUCGAUGUAUCAGCCUAAGCUCGGGCGGGCCCCACAGGGGGAGCGAUUUGGUCGUUGUGGAGAUCCAUCAAGAACCUAUCAGAGAUUUGGACCGAGAGCGACGUUGGUCCGGAUUGUCCUAUUGGCUUUGGCCCAAUAUCGUCGGUAUAAUUUGGCCAAUCCACUUGCAC